GACGAACGCUGGCGGCGUGCUUAACACAUGCAAGUCGAACGGAAAGGCCCUGCUUUUGUGGGGUGCUCGAGUGGCGAACGGGUGAGUAACACGUGAGUAACCUGCCCUUGACUUUGGGAUAACUUCAGGAAACUGGGGCUAAUACCGGAUAGGAGCUCCUGCUGCAUGGUGGGGGUUGGAAAUUUUCGGCGGUUGGGGAUGGACUCGCGGCUUAUCAGCUUGUUGGUGGGGUAGUGGCUUACCAAGGCUUUGACGGGUAGCCGGCCUGAGAGGGUGACCGGCGACAUUGGGAAUGGGAUACGGCCCAGACUCCUACGGGAGGCAGCAGUGGGGAAGAUUGCACAAUGGGCGGAAGCCUGAUGCAGCAACGCCGCGUGCGGGAUGACGGCCUUCGGGUUGUAAACCGCUUUCGCCUGUGACGAAGCGUGAGUGACGGUAAUGGGUAAAGAAGCACCGGCUAACUACGUG
RNAcentral lists this ribosomal RNA (468 nucleotides) under uncultured bacterium. RNAcentral's name for it is "partial 16S ribosomal RNA". It matches the Rfam family "Bacterial small subunit ribosomal RNA", at positions 28 to 507 of the family's 1533-position model. The record is from RNAcentral.